Molecule: long non-coding RNA, 262 nt
Filed under: Zonotrichia albicollis (white-throated sparrow)
Lineage: Eukaryota; Metazoa; Chordata; Aves; Passeriformes; Passerellidae
Description: lncRNA (ENSZALG00000008833.1)
Source: RNAcentral
GUUAAAUUGUCACAAAUAAGCUCCAAAGUGUUGUGAAAGAGCAACUGAUUUCCUAAAUUAAUCUGUAAGUUUGUUAGUACCAUUUAUUUUAACAAAAAUUUUGAUUGCCACUAAGAAGUUAAGAAUACUGACAAUGGCUGACCAGUUUUUGGAAGAAAAUAGUGUGAGUCUGAGAACUUGGAGUUGUUCAAGAGUCUACUGGAGAAUCCUGCCCUUUCAAAUGACAAUUUUGCCAGCUGCAUUAACUGGGACAAGAUUAUUG